GACAAACGCUGGCGGCGUGCCUAACACAUGCAAGUCGAACGACGAAAGCCUUCGGGCAAGUAAGAGUGGCGCACGGGCGAGGAACACGUAGAUAAUCUGCCCUUCAGUGGGGAAUAACUCUCCGACAGGAGUGCUAAUACCGCAUAAGACCACAAGCUCUGCGGAGCAAGGGGUUAAAGGAUCUAUUCGCUGAAGGAUGAGUCUGCGUCCGAUUAGCUAGUUGGUUAGGUAAUGGCUUACCAAGGCAAUGAUCGGUAGAUGGUCUGAGAGGAUGAUCAUCCGCACUGGAACUGAGAAACGGUCCAGACUCCUACGGGAGGCAGCAGUAGGGAAUAUUGCACAAUGGGGGAAACCCUGAUGCAGCAACGCCGCGUGAGUGAUGAAGGCUCUAGGGUCGUAAAGCUCUGUCGUAUGGGAAGAAAAAAAUGACGGUACCAUACAAGAAAGGACCGGCCAACUUCGUGCCAGCCGCCGCCGUAA
RNAcentral lists this ribosomal RNA (480 nucleotides) under uncultured bacterium. Its description in RNAcentral is "partial 16S ribosomal RNA". It matches the Rfam family "Bacterial small subunit ribosomal RNA", at positions 28 to 523 of the family's 1533-position model. The record is from RNAcentral.